CAGAAUGAACGUUGGCGGCGUGGAUUAGGCAUGCAAGUCGAACGGGCCUGGUUUUCGGAUCAGGUCAGUGGCGCAAGGGUGAGUAAGGCGACGGUAACCAACCCCAUGGUUGGGUAUAGCCGCGGGAAACUGCGGGUAAUCCCCAGCGAUGUAAGAUGCCGGCAUCGGUGUUUUAUCAAAGCUUUGGCGCCGUGGGACGGGCCGUCGUGGUAUUAGGUAGUUGGCGGGGUAACGGCCCACCAAGCCGAUGAUGCCUACCGGGCGUGCGAGCGUGGCCCGGCACACUGGGACUGAGACACUGCCCAGACUCCUACGGGAGGCUGCAGUCGAGAAUCUUCGGCAAUGGGCGCAAGCCUGACCGAGCGACGCCGCGUGGAGGAUGAAGGCCUUCGGGUUGUAAACUCCUGUCGAGG
Molecule: ribosomal RNA, 413 nt
Filed under: uncultured bacterium
Lineage: Bacteria
Description: bacterial SSU rRNA
Rfam family: Bacterial small subunit ribosomal RNA
Source: RNAcentral